GGUCAAGCGAAUAAGCGCACACGGUGGAUGCCUAGGCGGUCAGAGGCGAUGAAGGACGUGGUAGCCUGCGAAAAGUGUCGGGGAGCUGGCAACAAGCUUUGAUCCGGCAAUAUCCGAAUGGGGAAACCCACUGCUUCGGCAGUAUCCUGCAGUGAAUUCAUAGCUGCUGGAAGCGAACCCGGUGAACUGAAAUAUCUAAGUAACCGGAGGAAAAGAAAUCAACCGAGAUUCCCUAAGUAGUGACGAGCGAACGGGGAGCAGCCCUUAAGCUGGAAUGGCUUUAGAAAAACAAUCUGGAAAGAUUGGCCAUAGAAGGUGAUAGCCCUGUAUUUAAAAGGGCCACUCCAGUGAAGACGAGUAGGGCGGGGCACGUGAAACCCUGUCUGAAUAUGGGGGGACCAUCCUCCAAGGCUAAAUACUCCUGACCGACCGAUAGUGAACCAGUACCGUGAGGGAAAGGCGAAAAGAACCCCGGAGAGGGGAGUGAAAUAGAUCCUGAAACCGUGUGCGUACAAGCAGUAGGAGCUCGCAAGAGUGACU
This 540-nucleotide ribosomal RNA is filed under the name Xanthomonas campestris pv. zingibericola. RNAcentral's name for it is "partial 23S ribosomal RNA". It matches the Rfam family "Bacterial large subunit ribosomal RNA", at positions 1 to 598 of the family's 2925-position model. Lineage: Bacteria; Pseudomonadati; Pseudomonadota; Gammaproteobacteria; Lysobacterales; Lysobacteraceae. The record is from RNAcentral.